UAGCUGGUUGGUGAGGUAACGGCUCACCAAGGCGACGAUCGGUAGCCGAACUGAGAGGUUGAUCGGCCGCAUUGGGACUGAGACACGGCCCAGACUCCUACGGGAGGCAGCAGUGGGGGAUAUUGCACAAUGGAGGAAACUCUGAUGCAGCAACGCCGCGUGAGGGAAGAAGGUCUUCGGAUUGUAAACCUUAGUAGUCAGGGACGAAACAAAUGACGGUACCUGAAGAGUAAGCUCCGGCUAACUACGUGCCAGCAGCCGCGGUAAUACGUAGGGAGCGAGCGUUGUCCGGAAUUACUGGGUGUAAAGGGUGCGUAGGCGGGACUGCAAGUCAGGCGUGAAAUACCGGGGCUUAACUCCGGGGCUGCGCUUGAAACUGUGGUUCUUGAGUGAAGUAGAGGCAGGCGGAAUUCCUAGUGUAGCGGUGAAAUGCGUAGAUAUUAGGAGGAACACCAGUGGCGAAGGCGGCCUGCUGGGCUUUAACUGACGCUGAGGCACGAAAGCAUGGGGAGCAAACAGGAUUAGAUACCCUGGUAGUCCAUGCUGUAAACGAUGAUAGCUAGGUGUGGGGGGACUGACCCCUUCCGUGCCGGAGUUAACACAAUA
This 606-nucleotide ribosomal RNA is filed under the name uncultured bacterium. RNAcentral's name for it is "bacterial SSU rRNA". It matches the Rfam family "Bacterial small subunit ribosomal RNA", at positions 242 to 862 of the family's 1533-position model. The record is from RNAcentral.